AAACCAACAGGGAUUGCCUUAGUAGCGGCGAGUGAAGCGGCAAGAGCUCAAAUUUGAAAUCUGGUACCUUCGGUGCCCGAGUUGUAAUUUGAAGAAAGCUGUCUUGAAUUUGGCCUUUGUCUAUGUUCCUUGGAACAGGACGUCACAGAGGGUGAGAAUCCCGUGCGAUGAGGUGUCCAUUUUCAUAUAAGACGUUUUCGAAGAGUCGAGUUGUUUGGGAAUGCAGCUCAAAGUGGGUGGUAAAUUCCAUCUAAAGCUAAAUAUUGGCGAGAGACCGAUAGCGAACAAGUACUGUGAAGGAAAGAUGAAAAGAACUUUGAAAAGAGAGUGAAAAAGUACGUGAAAUUGUUGAAAGGGAAGGGUAUUCGAUCAGACUUGGUAUUUAGUUAUCAUCGCUCCUUGUGGGUGGUGCUCUAACUUUUUACUGGGCCAGCAUCAGUUUUGGUGGCAAGAUAAUGGCAGUUGAAUGUAGCUCCUUGGAGUAUUAUAGCUUCUGCUGAUAUUGCCUACUGGGACUGAGGUCUGCGGCUUUUGCCUAGGAUGCUGGCGUAAUGAUCGAAUACCGC
This 566-nucleotide ribosomal RNA is filed under the name Ogataea corticis. Its description in RNAcentral is "eukaryotic LSU rRNA". It matches the Rfam family "Eukaryotic large subunit ribosomal RNA", at positions 62 to 648 of the family's 3401-position model. Lineage: Eukaryota; Fungi; Ascomycota; Pichiomycetes; Pichiales; Pichiaceae. The record is from RNAcentral.